This is a long non-coding RNA of Capra hircus (goat), 2365 nucleotides long. Lineage: Eukaryota; Metazoa; Chordata; Mammalia; Artiodactyla; Bovidae. The record is from Ensembl.
CAAACAUCUGUUAUUUAUUUUUCAUUUUUUGGGUAAAUGAAAAAGCAACAAACCCCGUUUCCCGAAAAUGGAGCCUGAAUUCCACCCAUGUGGUCCUUGGCCUAGAAUGUGACACAGCCACGGAGUGAAGGUUAGGAAUGAGAGCUGACUUUCUAUGUGAUCCUGGGCAAGCCACCCACAUCUCAGAGCUUCAGUCUCCCCACUGUGAAGGACAGACUGUCAUUUCUAUCUCCACCAGAGCUAGGCAUGUAGGGCUAAAAGCUGAGAACGCCAAGACAUCUUCUGCAGCUCCUCUCUCUGUGCCUUGGAUGACCCUCCCAGCUACAAAUUCUAGGCAGUCUGUUCUGCUUGGGCAGGUGUUACUUUGUUCUCAAGCCCAUCACACCAUGCAGACAUCACCUUCUCCUUCUGGAGACUAGCACAUCCUUCAGGGAGCUGGAACCAGUUGUGAACUGAAGGAUGCCAAGCAUCUGCUGAACAGCAAGAAAACAGUCAAACUGGUGAAAACUGCAGCUCGACAUGGCACGGGGGGAGGACCCCAGAAUCGGAAGGCAGGAGGCCUGGUGCCGGCUUUCACUCUGUUACUGACUCAGUUAUCCACUCACUCACACUUUCAACAACAUGUAUCAAGCACUUCUGUGUUCAGGCACUGGUCUAAGUCCUGCAGAUGUAUUGGUGACAAGACCCUAGCUCUUCUGGGACUUACCAUCCGGAAAAGAGUCAGACACACAGAGAGGAAAAUACAUAUGAGAGAAUAGGUUGAUGUCAUAGGGAAUGACUGGAUGGGCUACCUCAGUUUUGAGGUCAGGAAGGGCCUCUCUGAGUACUGACAUUUCAGCUGAAGUGUGAGUUACUAAUCUAAAAAGGAAACAGUCAUUCAAGGAUCCUGAGGAAGGGCAUUCCAGGAUGAACAGCUGGUGAAAAAGUCCUAAGGUGGAAAUAGAUAGCAGGUUUUCACGGGACAAAAAGACUAGUAUUGCUUGAGUGGAGAGAUGAGUGGUAAGUGAUUUGAAAUGACUUUGAAGAGGUAGGCAGAAGCCAUGUAACCUCUUGCUUUAAGGAAUUUGGACUUUAUUUCGAGUACAAUGGGAAAGCAUGGUGCCGGGGGCCAGCGUGAGGAACUCCACCCAUGGCCAAGGUCAUGAGGAAGGAGGCUUCGGCAUAUGCAAAGGCGGGAUCGAGCCUCAGGAAACCCCCUGUUCCCGAGCAUCUACCCCCAAAACCAGAGUCUGUUUUAUGCUCUCACGUAUACCUCUGACUUUACGGGGGGCUGUUCCCCCACCACCUCUCUCGGAGAAGGAGUUAACUUGCAGCUCCAGUUAAUAAAAAUUCCUGGGCGUGACAAGAGUGUUUCAACUUACAAACUCCUCUAAAGCGUCUCUAGCCUGCCUGAGCGGGUUCGUCCGGCCACAUGUGAUUGUUUACAGCCUCCCAACCGUGAGAGGCAGGAGAUGCUUUAAAACUUUCUAAAUACAGACUCUUUUGAGAAGUUAGAAAAUUAUUAGUAGAGUAUAGUGGGUUGAUUAGAAAUUAUACUGGUGAAGGGUUUUUCAUUUGUUGAGCCAAUAUUUGCUGCUAAAUCUCCAUAUUCCCUGCCCUUAUAAUGAAUAUAACUAGCAUGUAGGAAAAAUAUGUAUUAACCUUUAAGAUUAAUCACUUUAACCUUAGGUAAAUAAAUUCCUUUCUUAGUUGUAACCCACUACAUCUUCACCCUAUAGGAAUGCAACUUUAUCUGGUACCUUCAGAGGGUGGUGCCUGGUUUAAGAAAAAACACCCUUGGAAAAAAUAAGUUUUUUGGUUAUCAGAAAGAAAGGAUCAUAAAAUGUCAGCAGGCUUCAUGGCCAGAAGAUGAUGUAAAACCCCUAAGACCUUUUUUUAUACAUUUAUGUGAAGCACCUGAUUUUGAUAAAGGUCAGGACUGCUGACCCCCACGUGACUUUAAAAUUUCCAUUUGUCUCUAUGCGUAACAAAAAGGUAUAUAAGCAAACCUAAAAAAUAAAGGAAUGGAAUCAGUUUCUGGAAAGACUGAUUCCCCCCGUCGCUCUUUCUUUCCCCUUCUGUCUGAAUUCCCAUCUGGAGCAUGGGUACUCACCAUGUCUACUUACUUGCCCUGGCUUCUAAGAUCCGUGGGAGAGGGAGCCCAAGGCGGGGCACCCUCUGAUAUUCAAAUGGGCGCAGGUGGCCCAACGUAGAUGGUGCAAAUUGCUUGUCUUGGAGUUUUAUUGGUAUUCCAUGUAAACCAAGUUAUUCAGCCUCUUUUUCUCCACUAAUUUUCCUACUACACUAUUCCUUUCUAAUCUCUGUCUUUAUACUUCUAAUUAAAUAGCUUUUUCCUAGGACGCCGAUUCCGUCUCCCCUUCGAAUU